Bos taurus (domestic cattle) is the source of this 711-nucleotide long non-coding RNA. The record is from Ensembl. Lineage: Eukaryota; Metazoa; Chordata; Mammalia; Artiodactyla; Bovidae.
CAAUAGUGCAGCCUUAGGGCAGGGCCUUGGAAAUGGCACGGGCGACCCACUCCAGUACUCUUGCCUGGAAAAUCCCACGGACGGAGGAGCCUGAAUGAAAACCCAGCACUUGGAAGAUGUCAGCAUUCUUCAUACCAGAGAAGACCACCUGAGGCCAGACUAAAGGAACUGGAGAAGCUCAUCAAGAUUACCUGGGACCACAUGUAGGGAAUGCAGAUCCUGUGCUGCUUGCCUCUCAUUUCCGUAAGGAUGUGUGGCCAAGUUCAUUGUCCUGUAGAGGCUCCGAUCGUGUCACACCCAACAUCCAAUCUGCUUUCCUGUGACCUACAGACUAAAGGCAGACACCUCAAAUCACUUCCUGCCCUACUGGAUGUAAACAAAUACAAACACAACACAAACCAGCUGAGAAGCAAACUCCCCCAGAUCAAUCUAUGCCUGGCCCCAGUACAACUUCCCCCAGCUCUUGUUCAGACUCGCUUCCAAUAGAACUGAACUGCAGGGUGCUCCUGCGAUGAGAGCACAUUCUUAACUCCAUAAGCUUGUGCUAUUCUCUUCACCUGGGGUUCUCUUUUCCCUUGUCUACACAUAUAGUCCUACAAAUCUGUAUUAGUUUGCUAGGGCUGCUGUAACAAAGUGCUGCAAACUGGUUGACUUAGAACAACAGAAAUUUAUCGUUUUUAUAACGAUAACCGAAUUCCCAGUUCUGGAAGC